GGGGAUGUAGCUCAGUGGUAGAGCACAUGCUUAGCAUGCACAAAGUCCUGGGUUUAAUCCCCAGUGCCUCCA
This 72-nucleotide transfer RNA is filed under the name Camelus bactrianus (Bactrian camel). It matches the Rfam family "tRNA". From Rfam's summary of the family: Transfer RNA (tRNA) molecules are approximately 80 nucleotides in length. Their secondary structure includes four short double-helical elements and three loops (D, anti-codon, and T loops). Lineage: Eukaryota; Metazoa; Chordata; Mammalia; Artiodactyla; Camelidae. RNAcentral also lists the same sequence under 2 other names. The record is from Rfam by way of RNAcentral.